This is a small nuclear RNA of Perognathus longimembris pacificus (Pacific pocket mouse), 108 nucleotides long. NCBI's taxonomy places the organism in Eukaryota, Metazoa, Chordata, Mammalia, Rodentia, Heteromyidae. The record is from RefSeq and is a predicted model, not a curated record.
GUGCUCGGUUCAGUAGCUCAUCUACAAAAAAUUAGAAUGAUACAGAGAAGAUUAGCACAGCUUCUGUACAAUGAUAACAUGCAAAUUUGUGAAGCAUUCCAUAUAUUU